Molecule: ribosomal RNA, 605 nt
Filed under: Sporobolomyces roseus
Lineage: Eukaryota; Fungi; Basidiomycota; Microbotryomycetes; Sporidiobolales; Sporidiobolaceae
Description: eukaryotic LSU rRNA
Rfam family: 5.8S ribosomal RNA (bases 184-337)
Source: RNAcentral
UCCGUAGGGUGAACCUGCGGAAGGAUCAUUAGUGAAUAAAUAGGGUGUCCAAUUUAACUUGGAACCCGACCUUCUCACAUCUAACCCUGUGCAUCUGUAUUUAAUGGCGAGCAAUUUUCGAAUUGUGAGCCAUUUCACUUUAUAAACACUAGUCUAUGAAUGUAAAAUUUUUAUAACAAUAAAAACUUUCAACAACGGAUCUCUUGGCUCUCGCAUCGAUGAAGAACGCAGCGAAAUGCGAUACGUAAUGUGAAUUGCAGAAUUCAGUGAAUCAUCGAAUCUUUGAACGCAUCUUGCGCUCUCUGGUAUUCCGGAGAGCAUGUCUGUUUGAGUGUCAUGAAUUCUUCAACCCAACUGUUUCUUGUAAACAGCUGGUGUUUGGAUUCUGAGCGCUGCUGGCUUCGUGCCUAGCUCGUUCGUAAUACAUCAGCAUCCCUAAUACAAGUUUGGAUUGACUUGGCGUAAUAGACUAUUCGCUAAGGAUUCAAUGUUCUGCAUUGAGCCAACUUAGUUAAGGAAGCUUCUAAUUGAAAAGUCUACCUUUAGAUUAGAUCUCAAAUCAGGCAGGAUUACCCGCUGAACUUAAGCAUAUCAAUAGCGGAGGA